This 261-nucleotide ribosomal RNA is filed under the name uncultured bacterium. RNAcentral's name for it is "partial 16S ribosomal RNA". It matches the Rfam family "Bacterial small subunit ribosomal RNA", at positions 73 to 334 of the family's 1533-position model. The record is from RNAcentral.
CCUUAACUUGUUAAGGUGGAGAGUGGCGCACGGGUGAGUAACACAUGGCUGACCUGCCCUUCAGAGGGGGACAACCAGUGGAAACGCUGGCUAAUACCCCAUACGUUCGCGGGAGUUAGAGCCCCGUGAAGAAAGUGUUUAGCGCUGAAGGAGGGGGCUGUGGCCCAUCAGCUAGUUGGUAGGGUAACGGCCUACCAAGGCGAGGACGGGUAGGGGGCCUGAGAGGGUGACCCCCCACACGGGUACUGAGACACGGACCCG